This 498-nucleotide ribosomal RNA is filed under the name uncultured bacterium. RNAcentral describes it as "partial 16S ribosomal RNA". It matches the Rfam family "Bacterial small subunit ribosomal RNA", at positions 30 to 523 of the family's 1533-position model. The record is from RNAcentral.
AUUGAACGCUGGCGGCAUGCCUUACACAUGCAAGUCGAACGGGCUUUGGGGCUUGCUCCAAGGUUAGUGGCGAACGGGUGAGUAAUAUAUCGGAACGUACCCUAGAGUGGGGGAUAACUAGUCGAAAGACUGGCUAAUACCGCAUACGAUCUAAGGACGAAAGUGGGGGACCGCAAGGCCUCAUGCUCAUGGAGCGGCCGAUAUCUGAUUAGCUAGUUGGGAGGGUAAAAGCCUACCAAGGCGACGAGCAGUAGCUGGUCUGAGAGGACGAUCAGCCACACUGGGACUGAGACAGGGCCCAGACUCCUACGGGAGGCAGCAGUGGGGAAUUUUGGACAAUGGGGGAAACCCUGAUCCAGCAAUGCCGCGUGAGUGAAGAAGGCCUUCGGGUUGUAAAGCUCUUUUGUCAGGGAAGAAACGGUGGGGGCUAAUAUCCUCUGCUAAUGACGGUACCUGAAGAAUAAGCACCGGCUAACUACGUGCCAGCCGCCGCCGUAA